Molecule: long non-coding RNA, 1170 nt
Organism: Amyelois transitella
Lineage: Eukaryota; Metazoa; Arthropoda; Insecta; Lepidoptera; Pyralidae
Exons: 2
Source: RefSeq, a predicted model, not a curated record
UACACGCGUCCAUCUACGAAGCACGCGCCAUAACCUUAAACUCAACAGUCCUCUGGUUCUUUUCGUGUGAUUUACGAGUACAGUAUGGCGCCGAGGAAGAAAAAGCUUUCUAGGGAAGAGAUUUUACAAAGAAAACGAGAAGCUGAGCGAAAGAGAUAUGAGCAUAUGAAAAACGAUCCACAGAAACGGGAAGCACUAAAAGAGAGGGAACGUAUUAAAUACCUAAAGAAAAAAGAAAAGGGAACUAGGAAGCUUGUGGAAAAUAUCACUCCCCGUGAACACCGCGAAGUAAAAAAGAAGUGGGGAGAGCAUUGCAGCAACAACCGUAAUAAGAAAAAAGAAUAGGAAAAUUCGAUAAUUCUUCGGGUAUAUAAAACUAAAUUUCAUUGAACUUGUGAUGAGACAUCUCAGCUGCUUUUGUGAAAAUGAUUCUUGUCUACAUUUCAAGAUAGGAAAAAUAUUGUAUGAACAGAAGCAAAAACUUUGUGUAGAAGAUGUGUUCACUGAUUCAGAAACAGAGAAUGACGCCGGACCUAGUUCUGUUGCUGUAGGAACAGAACUGAACAGAACAGCAAAUGCUUUCAACACUGGUGAUAACAUACUUGUCAAAUUACCUGCCAAAAAUAUGGAUUACAGAUAUGGGAGCGUUGUUGACACCAUUGAUGAAGAAGAAGAUGAACUGCGUGUUACCUUCCUAAAACUGUGUGAUAAAAAUGGUCAAACAUUUAGGAUUGAUCAAAUGGAUGUGGCGGAUGUUGCAACGGACCAAGUCAUAGAGAAACUGCCUAAUCCUAAUUUGCUUAUGAAAGGGAACCAAAUUUUCUACAAAUUUGAUUCAAGUGUAAAUGUAUUUGAAAAACAAUAACAGUUGAAUCAGAUAUGAAAAAUACUAGAUAUUUUCAUAGCAGAUGCCUGAUUGUUAUACUGUUUACAGAUUACUUAGUAUUUAGAGAAAGACUCUGAAGUCUGAGGUACUUAUUUCUUUUAAUCAAUGUGAUAUUAAAUGAUACUCAAGUGAGAUUUGUAGUGAGAGUUAAAUUAUUAAUAAUACUGUUAAAAACGAAGAUCUCAUAUAAAAUACUAUUGAUUUAAUGUUUCUAUAAUCAUUAAUAACGUGAUACGUAAGGUUUUUAAUAUUUUAUAAUAAUAAUAAGACUAUAAUUUUGUACU